RNAcentral lists this small RNA (28 nucleotides) under Bombyx mori (domestic silkworm). Its description in RNAcentral is "ovarian small RNA-11602". Lineage: Eukaryota; Metazoa; Arthropoda; Insecta; Lepidoptera; Bombycidae. The record is from RNAcentral.
ACGUAUCGUACCCCGGAACCAAUCGGCC